This is a long non-coding RNA of Syngnathus acus (greater pipefish), 2871 nucleotides long. RefSeq lists it as uncharacterized. Lineage: Eukaryota; Metazoa; Chordata; Actinopteri; Syngnathiformes; Syngnathidae. The transcript is spliced from 2 exons. The record is from RefSeq and is a predicted model, not a curated record.
ACUACCUUUUUCUUAUUCAACCUUUCAAACCAAUUGUUUCUUGUGUGUAUGUGUGUUUGUGCGUGCGUUUGUGUGCGUGCAUGCGUGUGUGACAAACUGACCAUCAUUUGUGGCUGCAAAUGGAACAAAUAGCAUGUUUGCAAAAUUUACCAAUUGGCUAUCAAAUGCUCUUUUGCGUCAUGACGUCCACACUUUUUUGUGAUAUCUUCAUCUUAAUCAUGGCAACAAAAAAAAAUGUUAUGCUACUGGUGAGUAUUUUGCAAACAUUGCAACAACUUUGAUUUCAUUUGAAGCACUUUGCUUUAGUCAUGCUUAUGAAAUGGUUAUUUAAUGUGACGUCUUGAUUUUUGGUGGGGAUGACACUGCUAGGGAUUUCAGUUGAAAUGCAAAGCAGUCAAAUACCUUUUGAAAAUACUUUGAAUAAUAUCUAUAACAUGCCUACAUAUGUAGAUGCUACUUCACAUGGUCUGCAGAACCACAACAGCGCUGCAGGUUUAUGUUAUUAAGAAAUAAGUUGUGUGCCUUGAGUUAGUGAUGGAAUUUUGUGGCACACAACAAACUGCAUGCAGCAUGUGGAAGAAAGGACUCCAGUGUCCCCUUUGAGUAAGUGCGACAGAACCUCCACCACCCCUUUCUGAAAAUCAUUAACAUGCCACUAUACCAUCAUGCUUAAUGCUCUUAAUAGUGCGGUUGCUCUUGGCUGAUUUUCCUACGGAGGAAUUCUCUAAACUGAUCCAUAACCAUGAGCGAGUGGUGAUUUUUGGCUGCCACAUGAAAAAGCAAGUCUCAACAUUCUUUUUGAAAGUCACCAAGCUUUGCGUUUCUUGUGUGCUGGGCCAAAGCGUCAACGGCCGGGAAUGUGAAGCUGGCAGUCCUUAACAUAAGAAAACAUCUGGAAACUUAAAGUAAUGGUUUUGGUUCACAAAUUAAGUCGUUGAUAUGUAGGCAUAACUUUAAUUUGUUCAUGUCAGGUGCUCUAUAAAAAAUGUUCCUUUUACAGUAAGCCAUUCUUUUACCAGUAAUGCAAUGUGCAGGAUAUUUUUAAAUGUUGUUUUCCUUCUUUCUCUGCUCUUUACUGUUAAAAUGUAUAGUAGGUCAACAUCUCAGAUGCACAGGCAGGAGAAGACAUUUAGCUUGUCAGUGUUAUUUUUAUUCGAAUGAUUGUUCUGUAGACAAGAUUAUUACACCAAGUGUGUCUUUAUUUGUCUUGGAACGUAGGCUUCCAACUGCGAUAAAAAAAAAUAAAAAAAGUUAAUUCCCGUUUUCCGUCUAAUUUCAUGAGAAUGCGGGUCCAUGAAACGCCGUGACUGCUUGCAGCUUCUUCACAUUGAUAACUAUGGCCGAACCUCUCCAUGUUCUCCAUUUGAAGCUCAUAGUUGUUUGAGUUGUUGUAUUGUGAUGAUGGGUGAGCUAUGUUGAGUGUCUUGCUUGAGUGAGUCACGGUAUUCACACGCACACGCAAGGAGAAUGGAGUGGGCUUGUUGCCGAAGCUUCCACGUCAACUUUGUGUCACCUGGGAUUGACAUGGUUCUCUGCGCGUGCUUUUGCGUGCACGCCUGUGUGUCCACGCACCUAUGUGUGUGUGUGUGUGUUGAUUCUCUGCGCUGCAGGCAGAACUGAUGACUCGUCAUGUACCUCUCUAUCUACAAGAGCUGCUCUGUUGCCUAGCAACACUGACCAAACAGCAGUAGCGAGAAGAGUCAAGUGCUCUCUGAAACCCCUCAUCGCUCGCUCCUGUUCUUUGUCUUUUUGAUCAGUGCUCUCUAUUAGUCAAUAGAUACGGUUGCCUUAUGUUUUCACAUUUUAACUCAUGUUGCCACAUGUUGUAGUGCGCAUGUGUGUAUUACGGAAAUGUGUUAGCUUUGGCUCCAAUGGCCAGGAGCGGAGAAAAGAGCCACUCACUUUAUUGACUUGGUCGCCACAUUGAUCAGCUUCUAAAACAAAGACAAGACUAUUGAAAUACAACCCUGUCAUUCAUUCGUACCAGAGCUGCAGACUCUUAUGUUAAAAUAUUCAAUAGAGUUCUUGGAAAUUUUUGAUUGGGUGCUAAAAGGACACAAUGUGUUUUCUGCUGCCAAGAAAAUCUGAAGAGGGGAGUUGCUCAAUACUGGUAGUAGCUUGUUUAUCCUGGUUUCCCCCUUUUUUUUGUUUGUUGGGUGGGGGUGCACAUGAUAUCACACACAGGAAUUUUCCCACACCCUCUUGUGGACCGUUACUGUCUACGUAGUCUAAAGCAUAUGGGAUUCCUCCCGGUGGCAGUAACAUCCUGCUUGUACAGCACUGAUACACUCACACACACACACACACGCACAGACAAUACGCUGCAUGUCGUUGACCCUCAAGGGAGAGAAGGGAAGCUUGGUGGGAAUAAUGAGGGAAAAUAGAGCUCUAGAAAAUGGAAAGAUAUUAGCCCGCGGAGGGAAAGAGAAGUCUCAUGUCUGAGUUUGGAAAUAAUGAUGAAAUGAGAAGUCUAAAGUUAAAAUUAUUUUCAAAGCUGCCAUGUCUAAAAGAAAAGAUUAUUUGAUAAAUAGCUCAAUCUAUUUUAAAGUGGAACAAUUUGUUUUGUUUUGAUGUGGUCAUGUCUUUUCAAUCCAAUCCAAACCAAACCGGUUUUUGUUUCAAAUCUUUUCUAUUUUAUUUAUUUUUUCCCACCCCCUAAUUCCAUCAAUCAUAUUGGGAUGAACUUGAACCGUCCCAGACUAUUCACUGGGCCCUUUUGUCCAAGAUUGGUCACAUCAAACAGCUUUCCUUGCCUUCUUCUGGAUAAAUAGACAAAAAAAAAAACUGUGGUGGCUAUUUGUCUUUACUAAUGUCUAUUUAAAGUGUAUCUAGCAGAAUCAAUUACGAACCCUAAAAAAUGGUUCUUGCGGG